This 253-nucleotide ribosomal RNA is filed under the name uncultured bacterium. RNAcentral describes it as "partial 16S ribosomal RNA". It matches the Rfam family "Bacterial small subunit ribosomal RNA", at positions 524 to 776 of the family's 1533-position model. The record is from RNAcentral.
UACAGAGGUCUCAAGCGUUGUUCGGAUUCAUUGGGCGUAAAGGGUGCGUAGGUGGCGCGCUAAGUCGGGUGUGAAAUCCCGGGGCUUAACCUCGGGACUGCAUUCGAUACUGGCGUGCUUGAGGACUGGAGAGGAGACUGGAAUUUACGGUGUAGCAGUGAAAUGCGUAGAGAUCGUAAGGAAGACCAGUGGCGAAGGCGGGUCUCUGGACAGUUCCUAACACUGAGGCACGAAGGCCAGGGGAGCAAACGGG